Molecule: ribosomal RNA, 1171 nt
Filed under: Bacillus sp. (in: firmicutes)
Lineage: Bacteria; Bacillati; Bacillota; Bacilli; Caryophanales; Bacillaceae
Description: bacterial SSU rRNA
Rfam family: Bacterial small subunit ribosomal RNA
Source: RNAcentral
UGCGUCGAGCGGACAGAAGGGAGCUUGCUCCCGGAUGUUAGCGGCGGACGGGUGAGUAACACGUGGGUAACCUGCCUGUAAGACUGGGAUAACUCCGGGAAACCGGAGCUAAUACCGGAUAGUUCCUUGAACCGCAUGGUUCAAGGAUGAAAGACGGUUUCGGCUGUCACUUACAGAUGGACCCGCGGCGCAUUAGCUAGUUGGUGGGGUAAUGGCUCACCAAGGCGACGAUGCGUAGCCGACCUGAGAGGGUGAUCGGCCACACUGGGACUGAGACACGGCCCAGACUCCUACGGGAGGCAGCAGUAGGGAAUCUUCCGCAAUGGACGAAAGUCUGACGGAGCAACGCCGCGUGAGUGAUGAAGGUUUUCGGAUCGUAAAGCUCUGUUGUUAGGGAAGAACAAGUGCGAGAGUAACUGCUCGCACCUUGACGGUACCUAACCAGAAAGCCACGGCUAACUACGUGCCAGCAGCCGCGGUAAUACGUAGGUGGCAAGCGUUGUCCGGAAUUAUUGGGCGUAAAGGGCUCGCAGGCGGUUUCUUAAGUCUGAUGUGAAAGCCCCCGGCUCAACCGGGGAGGGUCAUUGGAAACUGGGAAACUUGAGUGCAGAAGAGGAGAGUGGAAUUCCACGUGUAGCGGUGAAAUGCGUAGAGAUGUGGAGGAACACCAGUGGCGAAGGCGACUCUCUGGUCUGUAACUGACGCUGAGGAGCGAAAGCGUGGGGAGCGAACAGGAUUAGAUACCCUGGUAGUCCACGCCGUAAACGAUGAGUGCUAAGUGUUAGGGGGUUUCCGCCCCUUAGUGCUGCAGCUAACGCAUUAAGCACUCCGCCUGGGGAGUACGGUCGCAAGACUGAAACUCAAAGGAAUUGACGGGGGCCCGCACAAGCGGUGGAGCAUGUGGUUUAAUUCGAAGCAACGCGAAGAACCUUACCAGGUCUUGACAUCCUCUGACAACCCUAGAGAUAGGGCUUUCCCUUCGGGGACAGAGUGACAGGUGGUGCAUGGUUGUCGUCAGCUCGUGUCGUGAGAUGUUGGGUUAAGUCCCGCAACGAGCGCAACCCUUGAUCUUAGUUGCCAGCAUUUAGUUGGGCACUCUAAGGUGACUGCCGGUGACAACCGGAGGAAGGGGGGAUGACGUCAAUCAUCAUGCCCUUAUGACUGGGCUACC